Neofelis nebulosa (Clouded leopard) is the source of this 1096-nucleotide long non-coding RNA. RefSeq lists it as uncharacterized. The record is from RefSeq and is a predicted model, not a curated record. The transcript is spliced from 3 exons. NCBI's taxonomy places the organism in Eukaryota, Metazoa, Chordata, Mammalia, Carnivora, Felidae.
UAGACUGCGUGGGUGAGCGUGGCCUGCAGAACCACACACGGCCGGUCAUGCCGGGUGACUCCCAGGGGAUACUAUCACCCCAGGUUAAGUGUCUUCAUCCAUGACUGCCAACACGAGGGCCUCCUCGCGGCCGACGCAAGGACUGAGCCCGGAGCCUGGUAGACGGCGGUCAUCCAGGGGACGGCAGGGGACGGCUGCCACCCCAUCAUCAAAGCCAGCCUGUGGGUGCUCACCUCCGCUGAGGGACAGAUAACAGCGUGCGUGCUUGCUGACGGGAAAAACCCAGUAGGAAAACAACGGAGCCAGGGAAACAAGCAGAGGUUUGUUGGAGGAACACCGUUGAGCAGGCGGGAUGAGACGGGCCUGGUGCACACGAGGGCGUCUGCUUUGUCGCAGACAAGGACAGUCAUUGCGGUCGGUCGUCAGGACGGAAGGCAGGGCUGAGGGCACAGAUGGGGACAUAGGUACCUUGUCUGACUGCCCCGGCUCUCCGGGAGGCCAGAGGAGGGGCCGCCCGAGGACACAGCAGGAAGGUGGCCGUGGGGAGCCCAGGCGAGUCCUCGCCGGGAAGCAGUCCUGAGGACACCUCGACCUUGGACCCCCAGCCGCCGGGACCGUGAGAAAACCGGUGUCCGGUGUUUCAGCCGCCUGUGAGGUGUUUGUUAUGGGGCCGGGCUACUGACUUCAGGGUGACCACUCGGUCUGGACAUCGAGGGCCCCGAGCCUGUAAUUUGGACCGGUGUUCAGGUGACCUUGGUUUGAGGGGCAUCCUCGCACCCCCACCUGAAGCACCGGGGCGUCACCGUCCGCGGGCGAGUGUCGUCCACCAGCUCCUCCCGCUGUUGGACCAGGAGGGGCCGCGUUCCCACGGCUACUCAGGCCGCGCCCCAUGCCGGCUGUGGCCACAGGGACUCCUGUGCCCCCAUCUGGGCCCAGGCUGCCAGCACCGGGGCGAGGAAUGCCCUGUAGGGACCUUGGACACUUGCACGGGAACGGAGUGUCCCCGAGCAACCUGCCACCCUUGGAGAGUUGCCACAGGGAAUCUCCAGGCAGCCCUGGAGUGGGAGGGUCGGCAGAGCGUGGCCCUGGGUUAACG